RNAcentral lists this ribosomal RNA (157 nucleotides) under Phialophora sp. RNAcentral's name for it is "partial large subunit ribosomal RNA". It matches the Rfam family "Eukaryotic large subunit ribosomal RNA", at positions 99 to 261 of the family's 3401-position model. The record is from RNAcentral. Lineage: Eukaryota; Fungi; Ascomycota; Eurotiomycetes; Chaetothyriales; Herpotrichiellaceae.
CGGCAACAGCUCAAAUUUGAAAUCUGGCCUCGGCCCGAGUUGUAAUUUGUAGAGGAAGCUUCUGGUGCGGCACCGGCUGAGUCCCCUGGAACGGGGCGCCAUAGAGGGUGAGAGCCCCGUAUAGCCGGCUGCCUAGCCUGUGUGAAGCUCCUUCGAC